This is a long non-coding RNA of Papaver somniferum (opium poppy), 1826 nucleotides long. RefSeq lists it as uncharacterized. The transcript is spliced from 2 exons. Lineage: Eukaryota; Viridiplantae; Streptophyta; Magnoliopsida; Ranunculales; Papaveraceae. The record is from RefSeq and is a predicted model, not a curated record.
CAGCAACACCAUCUUCUUCACAUAAACACCGGGCAACACCAUCGAUCUUCUUCAGAUUCAGAGAAUGUCUACCACGUCCCUUCAGUUCAGCACCACCCCCACUCAUUCCACUACCAGUACAACGACCAUCACCACCGUUUCCUUCUUCUUAUCCCCUGUUACAUCUAAUAAUGAUAAAUACCAAAAAUUUUGAUUAAUUUUUUAUAAGUUUCCGAUCAAAAUUAAUGAGUAUCUGGAGAAAUUAGUGAUUAUUACUGAAUUAGGUAUGAAUCAUUCUUCUAUUUCCUACUUAAGCUUCAAUUUUUCUUGAAUUCUAACUAAAUUGAAAACUUAGGGUUUCAUAAGUUUGGGGAUUUUAUUGGGUGUUUUAGAAAUUGUGUUGAAAUAUUAAAAUUUAUAGAUACUCUGGUAUGAAUUUGGUUUUCUUCCGUUUCGAGUUUUGUCACUCUAAUUUGUGUCAUCAUUGUUUAAGCAUCAAAUUUGGUUGGACUAGGAUGGGUUUAUGAUGGAGGAAGACUCUAAUAGGUUUUGUUGGCCGGAAAUUCAAUUGGAGUGGUUGUGGUUGUUGUAACAGAUGGUUGAGGAAUUUGUUGUGGUUUAAACAGAUAAAGAUGAAACUGCUGCUGGUGGUGAUGAAUUAAUGUGUAUGAAUUGACUUACAAGGAAAUAGAGAAUGUGUUCUUUCCAAGAAAUGAGAAAACAGAUGGUGAAUGAUGUUGAUAUGGUGGUACAAAAGAAGAGUUAAAGUCUGUGUUAUUGAGUUUCGGAGAUUUGAGUUGAAGAGGAAUUUGUAAUGGAUGAUCUUGAAGCCAUAGAAGAAUUUAUGGAUACUGUGGUUUGGUUAUGAAUUCAAGGGUGCAAUUGGUGAUGGUAUUGGUGGUGAUGUCGUUGCUGCUAAUGCUGAGUAGAAAGAGGGUUUUUGUUGCUUAUAUUGCAGAGAAGAAUGUGUUGGUGGUAACUCUGUGGCGGUUGUUUGUGAGAUUGGGAUGGAGGAGUGACUGUUUAGAUGUGUGCUUAGGAUUUGAAGCUGAAGUUGUUUUGGUGUUAAUUGAUUCAAGUGAACAAGAAAAUAUGGUGUUGUGUUUUGUUGGUUCCGAUAAAUGGGUAGUUGUUGGUUUGAUAGUGAGAUGAGAAGAAGACAAAGUGGAUGCUUGCUGGUGAGAUUUAACAGAUUUAGAAAAUGGUGUUGGUGGUGAUUGUAGGGAAGCAAUGGACUUCUGCAGCUACAGAUGAUACUGGUGGUAUGGAGAUAAAAGUGGAAAUGGCUGAGCAAGCAAAAAAUAAGUGCUUGUUCAUUUUAUUUUAUUUUUGCCUUAGGCAAGCAACAAGUAUGGAAGCUCCGCUCGGACUAAAGACUAGUUCUUCGUCAUGUUACUGGUGAAGGCAGAAGAGCAAGAUGCAAGCAUUAUGACAGAGAAGUAAAUGCUGCGCGGAUAUAAUUCUUAGCAGUUUGGGAAGCUAACAAUUAUCUGGUUGCAAAUCGAGUUGGUGUUCUGCAGUGGAAGUGACGGGAGCUAAUUCGGGAGUGACGUGUGUCAAAAAUGGUGACGUGGCCAUAUUGAUGACGUGUACCCAGUCAGAACUGAGUUACUACGCACUCGGCGAGUUCAAUGAUUCAAAGGGCUUAAUUGUAUUUUUAACCUACACUAACUGUGCAAAAAAGGUGGAUAACCACCGUUAGCCGUUUUUUCAAUAAAAUGGUCAAAAUCGGCCUAGAUUUGUAAAGUUCAAAAAAACAGGCCUAUGGUUGUAACCCUCAAAAAAGACAGGCCUAUAUCUGUUUUUCACCCUUAAUUGAUUGAGUCUUGUUGAUUCUCUUAAAAGUA